Long non-coding RNA from Gavialis gangeticus (Gharial), 747 nucleotides. RefSeq lists it as uncharacterized. The record is from RefSeq and is a predicted model, not a curated record. The transcript is spliced from 2 exons. Lineage: Eukaryota; Metazoa; Chordata; Crocodylia; Gavialidae.
AGGAAGUGGACUGCUGUGACCUCUCUGGUCCCCUUUCAUCUCCAACUCUUUUGAUUCCGUACGUGUGCGGUGCCCUCUGCCACUUGCCUUGGGCGAGGUUACAUUUUCUAGUGCAACAAUGGGAUUGUUCAGAAGGUCUUGGCAGUAGUUCCUGUGUUAACAGUAAAACACUAGAAUGUCUUUCCUUCGCACGUCAGGAGACAGGAUCUUCAUCCUCUCAGUUUUCUCCCAUCAAGUUAAGUUUCUCCCAGUCAGUUGUCAGUGGGUGUGAAUGGAAGGAAGCAUAAGAGGAAAUCUGCUGGUCCAUGACGUGAAAUCAUUUGCCUUAAGUGACUUGGCAAUAGCCCUGUGGGUCUCAGAGCAGGAAGGGAUGAGUUUCCCAAGGCCAGAUCUUAUGUGAUCUCAGCUUGUGUGCCUGAGCAGUCUAUUCUGUAACCUGUAACAUCCUGCCCGUGACGUGUGGACUCACUCCAUCUACUCGACUGGCUGAGAUGGUGACUCCUACUUCUACUUCUCCGAAAAGCCAGAGGGUUCUCGAAGCCAGGCUGGGUUCUCUCCAGAUGUGUGAACUGUAGAGCGUCGGCCAAAGAUGGAGCCUUGGAGGGCGCGGCGCAGAGCAUGCUGCAGUGAGUUGGUGCUGCUUCAAGAGGCCAGCCCUGGUGUUGGACUCUAGCUGGUGCCCAGGAAAGAACAGCGCUCACCUGGUCUCUCUCAGCUGCACUGGCUUGGCCAGGAAGACUGCAUUAA